CCUACGGGAGGCAGCAGUGGGGGAUAUUGCACAAUGGGGGAAACCCUGAUGCAGCGACGCUGCGUGGGUGAAGAAGCGCCUCGGCGCGUAAAGCCCUGUCAGCAGGGAAGAAAAUGACGGUACCUGAAGAAGAAGCCCCGGCUAACUACGUGCCAGCAGCCGCGGGAAUACGUAGGGGGCAAGCGUUAUCCGGAUUUACGGGGUGUAAAGGGGGCGCAGACGGCGAUGCAAGCCAGAAGUGAAAGCCCGGGGCCCAACCCCUGGCCUGCUCUUGGAACUGCGUGGCUAGAGUGCAGGAGGGGCAGGCGGAAUUCCUGGUGUAGCGGGGAAAUGCGUAGAUAUCAGGAGGAACACCGGUGGCGAAGGCGGCCUGCUGGACUGCAACUGACGUUGAGGCCCGAAAGCGUGGGGAGCAAACAGGAUUAGAUACCCGAGUAGUC
This 440-nucleotide ribosomal RNA is filed under the name uncultured bacterium. RNAcentral describes it as "partial 16S ribosomal RNA". It matches the Rfam family "Bacterial small subunit ribosomal RNA", at positions 338 to 795 of the family's 1533-position model. The record is from RNAcentral.